AGAGUUUGAUCCUGGCUCAGGACGAACGCUGGCGGCGUGCCUAAUACAUGCAAGUCGAACGAACUCUGGUAUUGAUUGGUGCUUGCAUCAUGAUUUACAUUUGAGUGAGUGGCGAACUGGUGAGUAACACGUGGGAAACCUGCCCAGAAGCGGGGGAUAACACCUGGAAACAGAUGCUAAUACCGCAUAACAACUUGGACCGCAUGGUCCGAGCUUGAAAGAUGGCUUCGGCUAUCACUUUUGGAUGGUCCCGCGGCGUAUUAGCUAGAUGGUGGGGUAACGGCUCACCAUGGCAAUGAUACGUAGCCGACCUGAGAGGGUAAUCGGCCACAUUGGGACUGAGACACGGCCCAAACUCCUACGGGAGGCAGCAGUAGGGAAUCUUCCACAAUGGACGAAAGUCUGAUGGAGCAACGCCGCGUGAGUGAAGAAGGGUUUCGGCUCGUAAAACUCUGUUGUUAAAGAAGAACAUAUCUGAGAGUAACUGUUCAGGUAUUGACGGUAUUUAACCAGAAAGCCACGGCUAACUACGUGCCAGCAGCCGCGGUAAUACGUAGGUGGCAAGCGUUGUCCGGAUUUAUUGGGCGUAAAGCGAGCGCAGGCGGUUUUUUAAGUCUGAUGUGAAAGCCUUCGGCUCAACCGAAGAAGUGCAUCGGAAACUGGGAAACUUGAGUGCAGAAGAGGACAGUGGAACUCCAUGUGUAGCGGUGAAAUGCGUAGAUAUAUGGAAGAACACCAGUGGCGAAGGCGGCUGUCUGGUCUGUAACUGACGCUGAGGCUCGAAAGUAUGGGUAGCAAACAGGAUUAGAUACCCUGGUAGUCCAUACCGUAAACGAUGAAUGCUAAGUGUUGGAGGGUUUCCGCCCUUCAGUGCUGCAGCUAACGCAUUAAGCAUUCCGCCUGGGGAGUACGGCCGCAAGGCUGAAACUCAAAGGAAUUGACGGGGGCCCGCACAAGCGGUGGAGCAUGUGGUUUAAUUCGAAGCUACGCGAAGAACCUUACCAGGUCUUGACAUACUAUGCAAAUCUAAGAGAUUAGACGUUCCCUUCGGGGACAUGGAUACAGGUGGUGCAUGGUUGUCGUCAGCUCGUGUCGUGAGAUGUUGGGUUAAGUCCCGCAACGAGCGCAACCCUUAUUAUCAGUUGCCAGCAUUAAGUUGGGCACUCUGGUGAGACUGCCGGUGACAAACCGGAGGAAGGUGGGGAUGACGUCAAAUCAUCAUGCCCCUUAUGACCUGGGCUACACACGUGCUACAAUGGAUGGUACAACGAGUUGCGAACUCGCGAGAGUAAGCUAAUCUCUUAAAGCCAUUCUCAGUUCGGAUUGUAGGCUGCAACUCGCCUACAUGAAGUCGGAAUCGCUAGUAAUCGCGGAUCAGCAUGCCGCGGUGAAUACGUUCCCGGGCCUUGUACACACCGCCCGUCACACCAUGAGAGUUUGUAACACCCAAAGUCGGUGGGGUAACCUUUUAGGAACCAGCCGCCUAAGGUGGGACAGAUGAUUAGGGUGAAGUCGUAACAAGGUAGCCGUAGGAGAACCUGCGGCUGGAUCACCUCCUU
Molecule: ribosomal RNA, 1559 nt
Filed under: Lactiplantibacillus plantarum
Lineage: Bacteria; Bacillati; Bacillota; Bacilli; Lactobacillales; Lactobacillaceae
Also listed under: 1 other name
Description: Lactobacillus plantarum 16S ribosomal RNA
Rfam family: Bacterial small subunit ribosomal RNA
Source: RNAcentral